AAACAGAGAACCCUUUCAACACUCUCUCCCCUCUCUUCUCUUCCGGCCACAAAUGCCACCGCCCUUCCACCAUAGCCACUGGCUGGUGACGACGAUGACCGCCGUAUACGGCGGCCGAAUUCCCAAAAAUAUCCCAUUUUGAUUAAAACGACCCUCUUACUCCCGUUUUAGAGUCUAAACCUCCGAUGAUCGAGCAAAAAUGCCCGAAUUAGCCAGAGGCUCUUCGACUUUCGGCCGCCUUUCAUUGGAGAUGGCUACCUCAGGCAUCCC
This 270-nucleotide long non-coding RNA is filed under the name Gossypium barbadense (sea-island cotton). RNAcentral's name for it is "long non-coding RNA (GBAR_LNC020304)". Lineage: Eukaryota; Viridiplantae; Streptophyta; Magnoliopsida; Malvales; Malvaceae. The record is from RNAcentral.